GAUGAACGCUAGCGGCAGGCUUAAUACAUGCAAGACGAACGGUAAGUAGUGUAGCAAUACAUUGCCUAGAGUGUCGUACGGGUGCGUAACACGUAUGCAACCUACCCAAAACAGGAGUAUAGCUCGGGGAAACUCGAAUUAACCCUCCAUAAGAUCGUGAAGUGGCAUCACUUAGCGCUUAAAACUGAGGUGGUUUUGGAUGGGCAUGCGUCUGAUUAGCUAGUUGGCGGGGUAAUGGCCCACCAAGGCGAUGAUCAGUAGGGGAACUGAGAGGUUGAUCCCCCACACUGGCACUGAGAUACGGGCCAGACUCCUACGGGAGGCAGCAGUAGGGAAUAUUGGUCAAUGGGUGAGAGUCUGAACCAGCCAUGCCGCGUGCAGGAAGAAGGCCUUCUGGGUUGUAAACUGCUUUUGCCAGGGGAUAAAACGGUCGUGCGCGACUAAUUGAAGGUACCUGGUGAAUAAGCCACGGCUAACUACGUGCCAGCAGCCGCGGUAAUACGUAGGUGGCAAGCGUUGUCCGGAUUUAUUGGGUUUAAAGGGUGCGUAGGCGGCCCUGUAAGUCAGUGCUGAAAUCCCCCGGCUUAACCGGGGUGGUGGCAUUGAUACUGCAGGGCUUGAGUACAGAUGAGGUAGGCGGAAUUGACGGUGUAGCGGUGAAAUGCAUAGAUAUCGUCAAGAACACCGAUAGCGAAGGCAGCUUACUGGGCUGUAACUGACGCUGAUGCACGAAAG
RNAcentral lists this ribosomal RNA (735 nucleotides) under uncultured soil bacterium. Its description in RNAcentral is "bacterial SSU rRNA". It matches the Rfam family "Bacterial small subunit ribosomal RNA", at positions 28 to 759 of the family's 1533-position model. The record is from RNAcentral.